UACGGGAGGCAGCAGUGGGGGAUAUUGCACAAUGGGGGAAACCCUGAUGCAGCGACGCCGCGUGAGGGAAGAAGGUUUUCGGAUUGUAAACCUCUGUCUUUGGGGACGAUAAUGACGGUACCCAAGGAGGAAGCUCCGGCUAACUACGUGCCAGCAGCCGCGGUAAU
This 167-nucleotide ribosomal RNA is filed under the name uncultured rumen bacterium. RNAcentral describes it as "partial 16S ribosomal RNA". It matches the Rfam family "Bacterial small subunit ribosomal RNA", at positions 340 to 524 of the family's 1533-position model. The record is from RNAcentral.